CAGUGCAGUGUUCUGCACCGACACGCUUGGCUUCUCAACCACGUAGAAAUCCGCUGUCGGCAGGUUCGACACCACGCUACAAAUCUGGAUAACUGGACGCCAUGUAGGUGCCCUUCAUGAAGCUCUGACAGUCCUCCUGCUGCCACUCUAACACCGUCAUCGCCCGGUCCAUGUGCGUCCACGCUAUCCUGUUCGUCCCACACACAAUGGACACGAUGGAGCUGGCGUCCUGAAGAAUAACGAGGCAGUUUUCUGUGCAAUAGGAACUGCAGGGGGCGGAGCUUGUUGUUAACAUCAGCUGAAUCCUGGAAUAACGUCCGAACUCGGG
Long non-coding RNA from Ictalurus furcatus (blue catfish), 328 nucleotides. RefSeq lists it as uncharacterized. NCBI's taxonomy places the organism in Eukaryota, Metazoa, Chordata, Actinopteri, Siluriformes, Ictaluridae. The transcript has 3 exons. The record is from RefSeq and is a predicted model, not a curated record.